UACAGAGACUGCAAGCGUUAUUCGGAUUCACUGGGCGUAAAGGGUGCGCAGGUGGCCAAGUGUGUUAGGCGUGAAAGCCCGGGGCUUAACCCCGGAAUUGCACCUAAAACUACAUGGCUAGAGCAUUGGAGAGGGGAGCAGAAUUCACGGUGUAGCAGUGAAAUGCGUAGAUAUCGUGAGGAAUACCAGAGGCGAAGGCGGCUACCUGGACAAUUGCUGACGCUCUGGCACGAAAGCGUGGGGAGCAAAAGGG
This 253-nucleotide unclassified non-coding RNA is filed under the name uncultured Verrucomicrobiota bacterium. RNAcentral's name for it is "uncultured Verrucomicrobia bacterium contains 16S-23S intergenic spacer region". It matches the Rfam family "Bacterial small subunit ribosomal RNA", at positions 524 to 776 of the family's 1533-position model. Lineage: Bacteria; Pseudomonadati; Verrucomicrobiota. The record is from RNAcentral.